GACGAACGCUGGCGGCGUGCUUAACACAUGCAAGUCGAACGGAAAGGCCCUGCUUUUGUGGGGUGCUCGAAUGGCGAACGGGUGAGUAACACGUGAGUAACCUGCCCUUGACUUUGGGAUAACUUCAGGAAACUGGGGCUACUACCGGAUAGGAGCUCCUGCUGCAUGGUGGGGGUUGGAAAGUUUCGGCGGUUGGGGAUGGACUCGCGGCUUAUCUGCUGGUUGGUGGGGGAGUGGCUUACCAAGGCUUUGACGGGUAGCCGGCCUGAGAGGGUGACCGGGCACAUUGGGACUGAGGUACGGGCCAGACUACUACGGGAGGCAGAAGUGGGGAAUAUUGCACGAUGGGCGGAAGCCGGAUGCAGGAACGCCGCGUGCGGGAUGAAGGCCUUUGGGGUGUAAGAAGAUGUGACAGAGGACGAAGCGUGAGUGACGGUAAUAAGUAAGGAAGCACCGGCUAACUACGUG
This 468-nucleotide ribosomal RNA is filed under the name uncultured bacterium. RNAcentral describes it as "partial 16S ribosomal RNA". It matches the Rfam family "Bacterial small subunit ribosomal RNA", at positions 28 to 507 of the family's 1533-position model. The record is from RNAcentral.